GGAUGCCCAGACAACUAGGAGGUUGGCUCAGAAGCAGCCAUCCUUUAAAGAGUGCGUAACAGCUCACUAGUCGAGUGACCCUGCGCCGAAAAUGUACCGGGGCUAAGCCAGGUACCGAAGCUGCGGAUAUUCCUAGAAUAUGGUAGGGGAGCGUUGCAUGUGGGGUGAAGCCGUAUCGUGAGGAGCGGUGGACAGCAUGGAAGUGAGAAUGCCGGUGUGAGUAGCGAGAUGUAGGUGAGAAUCCUACACACCGAAAGCCCAAGGAUUCCAGGGGAAGGUUCGUCCGCCCUGGGUAAGUCGGGACCUAACGCGAGGCCGAAAGGCGUAGUGGAUGGAAAGCAGGCGAAAGAUUCCUGCACCCGUAUAUGGAGCGAAGGAGUGACGGAGACGGAUAGUGUGACCCUCUUAAUGGAUUGAGGGCGAAGCGAGGUAACUGGUGACCAGGCAAAUCCGGUCACUGCAAGGUGAAGACGUAACAGGUAAGUGAAAGAGCGAUCGAGUAGCGAAGCAUGUGAUGCCAGCUUCCAAGAAAAGCUUCUAGCAAUGCAUAUACGGCCCGUACCAAAACCGACACAGGUGGGCAGGGAGAGUAUCCCGAGGUGAGCGAGAGAACUGUUGCCAAGGAACUCGGCAAAAUGGCUCCGUAAGUUAGCAAGAAGGAGCGCUCGAAAGAGCCGCAGUGAAAAGGCCCAAGCGACUGUUUAACUAAAACAUAGCUCUCUGCGAAGCCGCAAGGCGAAGUAUAGGGGGUGACACCUGCCCGGUGCUGGAAGGUUAAGAGGAUCUGUGAAUCGCAAGAGGAAGCAGUGAGUUGAAGCCCCAGUGAACGGCGGCCGUAACUAUAACGGUCCUAAGGUAGCGAAAUUCCUUGUCAGGUAAGUUCUGACCCGCAUGAAAGGCGUAAUGAUUUGGGCACUGUCUCAACAGCCCGCCCGGCGAAAUUGUAGUACCGGUGAAGAUGCCGGUUACCCGCGACAAGACGGAAAGACCCCAUGGAGCUUUACUGUAGCCUGAUAUUGGGUUUCGGUGUUGCAUGCACAGGAUAGAUGGGACGCUGGGAAAGAAGCGCUUUGGCGUUUCUGGAGCGGACGUUGGGAUACCAUCCUUGCGACAUUGGAAUUCUAACCUGCGCCUCUGAAUCGAGGCGGGGGACAUUGUCAGGUGGGCAGUUUGACUGGGGCGGUCGCCUCCUAAAAAGUAGCGGAGGCGUUCAAAGGUUCGUUCGAUCUGGACGGAAACCAGAUGAUUGAGUGCAAACGCAUAAACGAGCCUGACUGCGAGACUGACGGGUCGAGCAGAGACGAAAGUCGGAGUUAGUGAUCCGGUGGUAUGUGAGUGGAAAUGCCAUCGCUCAACGGAUAAAAGUUACCCUGGGGAUAACAGGCUGAUCUCCCCCAAGAGUCCACAUCGACGGGGAGGUUUGGCACCUCGAUGUCGGCUCAUCGCAUCCUGGGGCUGAAUUCGGUCCCAAGGGUUUGGCUGUUCGCCAAUUAAAGCGGUACGCGAGCUGGGUUCAGAACGUCGUGAGACAGUUCGGUCCCUAUCUGUCGUGGGCGCAGGAUAUUUGAAAGGCGCUGUCCCUAGUACGAGAGGACCGGGAUGGACGAACCUCUGGUGCACCAGUUGUCACGCCAGUGGCACAGCUGGGCAGCUAUGUUCGGAUCGGAUAAACGCUGAAAGCAUCUAAGCGUGAAGCCGGCCUUAAGAUAAGAUAUCCCACUGAGUCAAUCAGGUAAGACCCCUUGAAGACUACAAGGUUGAUAGGCACACAGUGUAAGCGGAGUGAUCCGUUCAGCUAGCGUGUACUAAUAGGUCGAGGGCUUGACCC
Molecule: ribosomal RNA, 1828 nt
Filed under: human gut metagenome
Description: bacterial LSU rRNA
Rfam family: Bacterial large subunit ribosomal RNA
Source: RNAcentral